Molecule: long non-coding RNA, 1027 nt
Filed under: Vigna radiata
Lineage: Eukaryota; Viridiplantae; Streptophyta; Magnoliopsida; Fabales; Fabaceae
Description: long non-coding RNA (VRAD_LNC008613)
Source: RNAcentral
UUCUUUCUUUCACUAGUAGAAAAAUUGCAUUUUAUGACGACUUUACUAUGACGGAUAAAAAUUAUCCAUCAUAAUAGAGACAUAUUAUAACGCACUUUUAUAUAUCUGUCAUAAUAUGAAAUGCGGUGGCAAACUCGUAAAUAAGUCUAAGACAUAUUAUGACAUAGUUUUACAUAUCAAUUAUAAUAUAAAAAAAUUUAAAAUCUUUUACUACGCAUUUUGGACACUUGUCAUAAAAUUUUUAAUAUAUUAUGACUGAUUUUUAGAAAUUCGUAUCUCUCUUUUUCACUCCGUCCUUCUCAUGUUCGUCCCUCUGACUCUCAUUUCCCAUUUCUCUCUCACUCUCGUUCGACCUAUUACACCGUCUCCUCUUUUCCUCUCUUCUUCACCCUUUAUCAUUCGCAGUUCAAUCAACCACAAUUCUCCAUUUGCGUACCCUCGAGAACGUUUCUCUCGUCUCCAUCAUCGAAGGCUCUCGUCACAGUUCUCAGUCGCCGCAGUUCAAGCGGUAAGCACUUUCCUUUACCUCUCAGCCUCUCACCUGCAUCUUUUACCCUCAACUGCUAGGGUUUCUUUGUAUCUUCAUUUUCUCACCUUUUGAUCGAUUGUUUUUUGCUUUUUCCUUCAUUUUUCACCGAUUGAAAUCGGUUUCCUCCGUCUUUGUUCCGGUCAAGCAGUGAUUCCGUGUAGGUAGGAGCUAACCUAGGUAGGAUGUGGCUGAUGCUGCAAGUGUAGCUGCGUGUUCGUUCCCCUUUCGAGGUAAGGGUUUUUGUUUCGUAAUUACUCUCUGCGUGUUUCGUAAUUUUGUUUCGAGAUGUCCACCUUGGUGCUGUUUUGUUUUGAUUAUAUUGACCCUGUAAUUGGUUNAUAACGCAUAGUUGUUGUGGGUUUUGUCCGACACAGAGAAGUGGUUGAUGGAGAGAAAGCUCUCGAGCAAAUAACACAUUUAAUUUUAAAGGUAAGAUGGUAGGAGUUGUUAAAUGUGUAGAUGAAGCUCUGGUCCAGAAGUUUGAGUGGAAUAAUGAAC